This is a non-coding RNA of Camellia sinensis, 1198 nucleotides long. The record is from RefSeq and is a predicted model, not a curated record. Lineage: Eukaryota; Viridiplantae; Streptophyta; Magnoliopsida; Ericales; Theaceae.
AACGCCAUAAAGCUAUAGCGACGGCCGCGUAGUCGGCGUUUGGUACUAGACGUCACAAAAAGAAUUAGCAACGUUUUUAGUACCUAUAGCGGCGUUUUUAAAACGCCGCUAAAAGUCGAUUUUCCAUCAGUGAUAAUAGGGAUAUCUUGUGGAAUCACUUAUGCACACAUCAAUUUCUUUUCAUUUGAAGAUUCUAUUUUAUUUAUUAACCCUUUCAACUGAAGACCUUUCAUCACUUCUUGAAGGACAUCAUCGCAACCAUAUAUUGAUUGGUCAAAAAUUUGUGACUAGAUAUUCAAUUCUUCCAAAAUUUUGGUCAUUUUUUUCCUUUGGAACAAUUUCAUGUUCUUAAUUCUGUUUCUCAUUGUAUUUAUAUAACCUUGAAAUUACCCUUUUAAGAUCAGAACUCUGUACUUUAUACUUCCUAUUUCAAGUGUCAUCUCAUUCAUCAUGCAUUUUUUUAUAAGAUAGAUUUUGUAUUAAAAGGCACAAAUCAAAAGGGGGCGCAACCCUUUAUGCAUCAUGUGUACGAAACAUAAACUGUGGCUACCCUAUGUGUAUCUACAGGGACUUGGAUUUUUCUACAGUGUUUGCUUUAAUUGUAAGGUAGCUAAUUUGUUGUUAUUUUGUGCUGUCUCAUUUUUAUCUGCAUUUAAACAAAUGCUGCGGCAAGCUACAUAACAUGAAGAAGGGGAGUAAACAUGUAGAUGCAGCUCCACUUUGUGACAAAAUUGUUUUCAAUAAGGUAAAGCAUGGGCUAGGCGGAAAUGUACAGCUUAUUUUAUCUGGAGCAGCACCUCUUGCUACCCAUGUAGAAGCUUUUCUACGGGUGGUGGCAUGUUGUCAUGUUCUGCAAGGAUAUGGUAUGUUGUCCUUUUAAAUCUGUACAUAUCAAUUUAACUUAUUUUAUCUGCCUUUUUAGCAUGUACAUUUGAAUUUCACUCAUUCCUCCCUUUGGAAGUGGUUUUUGUUACUUAUCAGCCUAUUUGAGACAGCUUGCUGAUAUAUGUUUCUUUGUUGCUUAAACUCCACUUGGGAAUGAGUUCUAUUACACUUCGCUUUGAAGGCAUCUGAGAAAGUUUGAUGAAAUUUCUUUAAAUCCAUUACCUCAGUGCCAUAUUCCCCCUGUUUCUGCCCAUGAAUAGAGACUUCUACUGAUUCAGCACUGGUCUCACAGAAAGCUGUGUGGGAACAUUUC